UUUGAGUUGUUUCUUUUCAUUUUGUAUUCAUUGUUGAGCUUAAUUUAAGCAUUAAAACCAUGUCAAAAUUCGCUGAAUCGAGACCAGCACAAACCACAACCCAAAACAGUACACAAACCAGUCAAAACCCUCCUAUAGCUAAUCCGAAGUCUGCAUAUUACCCACAUUAUACUGACCACCCUGGUUCAGUAGUUAUCAACCCCGAACUUACAACCAAUAAUUACAUCACCUGGAGUAGGUAUUUCCUACUUGCUCUUUCCAUUAGAAACAAGAUUGGGUUUAUCAAUGGAACCAUACCUAAGCCAGAAAUCACAGAUCCCCUUUUCCAGUCAUGGACCCGUUGCAAUAAUCUUAUUGUGGGGUGGCUACUGGAAUCAAUCUCUCAACCAGUUGCCUCAACCAUAUUUUAUAUGGAUUCUGCCUAUAAAAUGUGGAAUACACUCAAACAAAAUUUUGCUCAACCUGACGACACUAGAGUCUGUAACUUACAGUACAUUCUAGGGAAUAUUACUGAAGGGACUAGGACAGUUGAUGCAUAUUUUAUAGAGUUGAAGGGAUUUUGGGAAGAAAUGAGAAACUAUAGUCCAUUGUUUCAUUGUGAAUGUGGGAGCUGCAAUCCUGUUUGUUUCAAAAAAUAUUCUAACCAAUAUCAUAAAGAUAUGGUAUUCAGGUUCUUAAAUGGCUUGAAUGAGUCCCUUGUAGCAAUUAGAUCCCAAAUUAUUCUCAUGGAUCCCAUCCCUGCACUGGACAAAGUAUACAGUUUAAAAUUGAGGGAAAAGUCCCAGAGAAAUGUUAUGAUACAGCCUUAGCCAACAACUGCAUCAUCUGUUAUGAUGGUUAGUGUAGAAAACAAAAGGAAAUGGAAAAAGGAUAUAGUAUGUAACUAUUGUGGGAAAGAGGACACACCAAAGAUAAGUGCUUCAGAAUCAUUAGCUUUCCAGAGGAUUUUAAAUUCACAAAAGGGAAGGGAAAUAACAAGGAAGGAAAGGCUGCAGUAAAUAAUGUAUCUGGGAGCUAUGAAACAAUCACUGGAGAGGAGACUUAAGUAGAGCAAGAAGAGGCUUUGGUUGGAACAGGCUCCAUGUCUCAACUAUCAGUCCUACAGCAGCAGGUAAACAAGAUCAUGAACCUCCUGAAUGUGAAUGAUAUAAAUGGAAGAGUUGGUAAGAACUCAACAGCACCUCAAACUACCAAACACUUACUAGCCAAUUCAGCGUUUGCAGGAGAUUCCUUCAUGGAAGGUGAUUGAGGUUGGUGUAGCCUGCUCAGGACUUUAUCUGAUGCAAGAGAAUCAAGAUGAGCAAAGUUUAUCAAAAAUCUGUUUUGAAAAUUUUGCAAAGACCCCAAAAAUUUCCUCUGUUGCUGUUUCAAAGACGGGGUACAACUUUUUUGAUCUAUGGCACUUUAGGUUAAGCCAUAUCCCUGUUGAAAGAAUUAAUCUAAUUCAUCAAAGACUUCCUGAUGUGAAAUGCACAAAUGACUUGUUUUGUGAGGAAGAAAGUAGAGACAUCUCUCGGAGCGACCCAUAUAAUACCCCAUAGAUUGCAGCAACUCAUCCAUUAUUAUUAUUGUUUACAAUAUAAAUAUUGUUUACUAAAAAUGGGUGUCUACGAUCUAAUUGAAUUUGAUGUGUUUGCUUUCCUUUUUUGAUCAAAUGUUAAUUUAAUGUUUUGCAUUUAGCUUCUUCAGCUUUUUGGAUACCUGGUGAUUUUUGUGAACUGGCAAAUUUUUUUUGGUAAUAUCGCUGGGUCCUCUGACCAAAUCUACCUACUGGUUUUUGGGUGAGUUUCUGUGCUAUACCAAGUCAUUAACGAUUCAAGAGGGUGAUGAUCAUGAGGGUAAUCUCAUGGAAGGUCAGGGGUCUAGGCAGUGGUAUUAAGCUUCGCAUGGCCAGAAUUGGUGGGUUUGACCAAGGCAGAGAUGGUGUUGCCACAAGGAACAAAAUUGAAUGACAGUAAAUAUGGGUUCUGUUUUUCUGGAGUUUAUGUGGUGGUGCCACCAUGGGCCAUGCCAUUGUCAUUUUCUGCUGAUUUGCCUCUCUGUCUGCUAUGCUGGUGGCAUCCUUAUGAUGUUCAACAAGCCUUCUCUAUGACUUCACUUUUCGCAGAUUUGGUUACCUUGAUGUAGUAAUUUUAUUACGAUGGGGAGCUAGUAUGGUGGUGAAUCGCUGGGGCUGAUUUUAUGUAUAUAUCUAUGAUUCCCAAUGUUGUCUACUUCAUUAUCUGAUGCAGGGGAGUCCUCUGUGUUGUGGUUAUUUGUCUCUGUCAAUGGGUGUGUAUGGACUUUUAAGGCCUCUCUGUUCAUGUCGGUUUAGGGUGGUUCAGGGCUUUGUGCCCCCGAGGGAUGUCUUUACAUCCUCUUUCCAGGGUCGUUGCGUUUCAUUUGCUUAGACCUUGGCUUUGUAACUCAAUAAUACUAUAAAUAAAAUGAUACCAGUUCAC
Molecule: long non-coding RNA, 2441 nt
Organism: Theobroma cacao (cacao)
Lineage: Eukaryota; Viridiplantae; Streptophyta; Magnoliopsida; Malvales; Malvaceae
Source: RefSeq, a predicted model, not a curated record